This 253-nucleotide ribosomal RNA is filed under the name uncultured bacterium. Its description in RNAcentral is "partial 16S ribosomal RNA". It matches the Rfam family "Bacterial small subunit ribosomal RNA", at positions 524 to 776 of the family's 1533-position model. The record is from RNAcentral.
UACGUAGGGGGCGAGCGUUGUCCGGAAUUAUUGGGCGUAAAGAGCGUGUAGGCUGUUCGGUAAGUCUGCCGUGAAAACCUGAGGCUCAACCUCGGGCGUGCGGUGGAUACUGCCGGGCUAGAGGACGGUAGAGGCGAGUGGAAUUCCCGGUGUAGCGGUGAAAUGCGCAGAUAUCGGGAGGAACACCUAUGGCGAAGGCAGCUCGCUGGGACGAUACUGACGCUGAGGCGCGAAAGCCAGGGGAGCAAACGGG